ACUCAAAGGAAUAGACGGGGACCCACACAAGCGGUGGAGCAUGGGGUUUAAUUCGAUGACAAGCGAAGCACCUCACCCAGACUUGACAUGUUAGGAAUUUGGUCGAAAGAUCGAAGUGCCGCAAGGAACCUAAACACAGGCGGUGCACGGUCGUCGUCAGCUCGUGUCUUGAGAUGUACUGUUCAGUCAGCUAACGAGCGCAACCCUCAUCUCAUGUUGUUUUUUCAUGAGAGACUGCCGCCUCCAAGGCGGAGGAAGGUGAGGAUGACGUCAGAUCAGCGUGCCCUUUAUGUCUGGGGCGACACCCGUGCUACAAUGGCCGGUACAAACGGCAGCCAACCCGCGAGGGUGAGCAAAUCCGAGAAAACCGGCCUCAGUUCGGAUUGAAGUCUGCAACUCGACUUCAUGAAGUUGGAAUCGCUAGUAACCGUGAAUCAGCCACGUCACGGUGAAUAUGUUCCUGGGUCUUGUACACACCGCCCGU
This 484-nucleotide ribosomal RNA is filed under the name uncultured bacterium. Its description in RNAcentral is "partial 16S ribosomal RNA". It matches the Rfam family "Bacterial small subunit ribosomal RNA", at positions 899 to 1397 of the family's 1533-position model. The record is from RNAcentral.